This 393-nucleotide unclassified non-coding RNA is filed under the name Hevea brasiliensis (rubber tree). The record is from RNAcentral. Lineage: Eukaryota; Viridiplantae; Streptophyta; Magnoliopsida; Malpighiales; Euphorbiaceae.
GUGGGCAAGCAUGGGCCAAAAAGAAGAGGCAGCACACCGUCAUAAAGUUUUUCAAGGAUUUCAGGUUUAUUUAUUGUUCCUCUUAAAAGCAUUUACUGUGGCAUACAUAUGUUAAUGAAUUAGACAUAUUCAAUUGUUAGUUUAGUUGUUUAUCCUGUCUGUUGAUUAUAAUAUGGUCUUAUUAACUAUUUCCUGUUGAAGAUAACUAAAACAGUUGUGACUGUCAUCGUGCUCAAUCAAAGUAACAAGGAGCUGUUUGGGUUCAUAUAAAAUAUGUGGCUCAUAUUUUGACAUUUUAUUAAAUUGCAGGUGGAUGAAGAUCUGAUGAAAUUAGCUGGACCAAAUGCUUACUUUAUGCAUUGUUUGCCAGCUGAGAGGGGUGUGGAGGUGACA